AUACCGGUGCCUUGUAACAGAGGAGAAUAGGGAAGCAGGUGUGAAUCCUGCACGAACUCGUCACUGUGAAUGGAGAUUUCUUAGCAUAUGUCACUGUAUAAACGGGAAGACGCUUAGAAGCAUUAUCCUAAGUCAGGAGACCUGCCGGUAUG
RNAcentral lists this non-coding RNA (152 nucleotides) under human gut metagenome. RNAcentral also lists the same sequence under 1 other name. The record is from RNAcentral.